GGCAUUCUGUUGGGAGGCUGAACUCCCUUUCAGGGCCGUGUUGGAACCUCUUUGGGCUUUUGAAUUUGCUUUUUAUUACCUUCUCGGAGCUGAAUUCUGCAAUGGACCCUGGGGACUGGAGGACUUUGUGUGAGGAGAACCAGGCCCGUGUGGGCAAGUUCAGUGCCAAUGCUGUGAGGGCAGAGCGGCUCAGGUGACCAGCCAGCCCCGGUGCAGGUCCUGGAGCACACAGUGCCCCUAGGAGAGGGAUCACUUACCUGGCGACCUCCUUUCUAAGAGUUCCCAGAAUGUGAGCCUCAGGUCACCAGGUCAGAAGUCCUGAGGACGUCUGGUGAAAUGUGCAGCCACCAGGAGCCCCUAAAUUCUGACUUGGUGGAAGGUUGAGUGCAGGGCCCAGAACCUGAGCGAGUAACUCCGUUCUGAUGCUCACUGCCCUCCGCAUCCCUUUGCCCCCGCCUCCGCCCUCACGGGGAUGCCUGGACCAGGAAGCUCUACCUGCGCCCCGCCCCCCCUCUGUUUAUCAGCGAAGGACCUGCCCUGGAGUUUCUGACCCAUCCUCCCCGGAAAACGGAGGCUCACAUGGGACUGUGGUCCCAGCCCUCUCGCCCGCCUGUUCUCCAGGUGCAAUGACAACCGAGCACCAUCAUAAAGUGUUCUGUGUGCCUCCGCUACCUGGUCUUUUGUACCACACUCUACUCUGGGGCCCGGGAAAAGAGUGAGGUUUAUUCUGGCACAAUAACACAACCAAUGUCUGGGCGGUCUCUCUUCUGGAAAAGACAGAUCCAUGGAAAUGGGACCCCCUCAGUGCCCUCCCCCUGUUCCCUCACCAACCUGGGGAGCUCCUGGCUCCCACCCCUCAGCGGGAGGACCCAGCCUGGGGAGCCUAUCACUUCCUUAAAGCUCCUCACUUCCUCCCACCUCCCUCUCCCCGGGAGCGGAGCGGCAGGGUCCUGGGACUCACUGUCACUCACACCUCUGUUGUGGUAAACAGCCUCCUUUGCAGCUGCUUAUUCAGAGGCCCUCACUUGCUUUCCCCACUGGAUUUGGAAAGAGUUAAAAAUGCCAGCCAGAUCGGCCCUCUUCCCCUUAGGAAAUCAAUUUGUUAAGCUGGCACUCGGGAUUUUAUAUAUAUUUCUAUGAGAUCUCUUAUUUUUGGUUGCCUUGAAAUAAAGAUUUAAACCUUUUAA
Molecule: long non-coding RNA, 1187 nt
Organism: Myotis brandtii (Brandt's bat)
Lineage: Eukaryota; Metazoa; Chordata; Mammalia; Chiroptera; Vespertilionidae
Exons: 2
Source: RefSeq, a predicted model, not a curated record